UGCAGAAUCCCGUGAACCAUCGAGUCUUUGAACGCAAGUUGCGCCCGAUGCCAUUAGGUUGAGGGCACGUCUGCCUGGGUGUCACAUAUCGAAGCCUCCUGCCAACAUCUUGUUCACAGGGCGUUGUGCACGGCAAAUGUUGGCCUCCCGUAGCUCUUCCGGUUCACGGUUGGUUGAAAAUCGAGACCUUGGUAGGGUGUGCCAUGAUUGAUGGUGGUUGUGUGCCUCACGAGAACUUGAAAAUCAUACACUACUCUGCCAAAAGCGGCCUCCGUUACCCAUUUUGCGUUUGCGAACGCUUGUGAUGAGACCUCAGGUCAGGCGGGGCUACCCGCUGAAUUUAAGCAUAUCAAUAAGCGGAGGAAAAGAAACUAACAAGGAUUCCCUUAGUAACGGCGAGCGAACCGGGAUAAGCCCACCAUGAGAAUCGGAUGCCCUCGGCAUUCGA
Molecule: ribosomal RNA, 448 nt
Filed under: Ononis spinosa
Lineage: Eukaryota; Viridiplantae; Streptophyta; Magnoliopsida; Fabales; Fabaceae
Description: eukaryotic LSU rRNA
Rfam family: Eukaryotic large subunit ribosomal RNA (bases 308-448)
Source: RNAcentral